GCGGACGCGCCGACGAUGGAGAGUCGGACCCGGCUGUAAACCGGGUGCUUCGGCUGAGGGGGUUCGAAUCCCUUCGUCCGCAC
This 83-nucleotide transfer RNA is filed under the name Catellatospora sp. TT07R-123. RNAcentral describes it as "tRNA-Tyr". It matches the Rfam family "tRNA". Rfam says of the family: Transfer RNA (tRNA) molecules are approximately 80 nucleotides in length. Their secondary structure includes four short double-helical elements and three loops (D, anti-codon, and T loops). Further hydrogen bonds mediate the characteristic L-shaped molecular structure. tRNAs have two regions of fundamental functional importance: the anti-codon, which is responsible for specific mRNA codon recognition, and the 3' end, to which the tRNAs corresponding amino acid is attached (by aminoacyl-tRNA synthetases). tRNAs cope with the degeneracy of the genetic code in two manners: having more than one tRNA (with a specific anti-codon) for a particular amino acid; and 'wobble' base-pairing, i.e. permitting non-standard base-pairing at the 3rd anti-codon position. Lineage: Bacteria; Bacillati; Actinomycetota; Actinomycetes; Micromonosporales; Micromonosporaceae. The record is from RNAcentral.